GAGUUAGUAGUUCAAUUGGUAGAAUGUUUUCUUGUCAAGAAAAAGAAUAUCGGUUCGAUUCCGGUAUAACUCG
This 73-nucleotide transfer RNA is filed under the name Rickettsiales bacterium. RNAcentral's name for it is "tRNA-Asp". It matches the Rfam family "tRNA". Rfam says of the family: Transfer RNA (tRNA) molecules are approximately 80 nucleotides in length. The record is from RNAcentral. Lineage: Bacteria; Pseudomonadati; Pseudomonadota; Alphaproteobacteria; Rickettsiales.